Sus scrofa (pig) is the source of this 5835-nucleotide non-coding RNA. NCBI's taxonomy places the organism in Eukaryota, Metazoa, Chordata, Mammalia, Artiodactyla, Suidae. The record is from RefSeq and is a predicted model, not a curated record.
GGUCCUGGGUUGAACCAACUGCGGACCAUCAAUCUUGAGCAGGUAAUGAAACCUCCUUAAAAAGGACGGUAGCCUUCGAAGCUUCUAGGUUGGUGAAAGCUUGGAGGCGUGGGGAGAGCGUGUGCCUGGAGAGGGUGUGGAGUCGCCCUUUCCCCGUGCUUUGCGUCUCUUCCAUCUGGCUCUUCCUGGGUUAUCGCUUCUUGGGAUAAUCUGCCUACCUAAGAGUCUCUAUUAAUUACAAAUGGAAAACGGUACCAUUCCCUGGAGAAAGAGGACACACACCAUCUUGAUCAAGUGAUCAAGCCCUCACAUCACCAAUAACGACGUCCACUGAUUGGCAUUAUGUGCUUCUGCUGUGAUACAAAGGAGAUACCUACUAAAGUGCUUGGGAUAGAUCUCUGCAGCUCAAUUUUAAAAGGAACAGAAACGCCUCAAGCUCCCGACCACAGGAUUUGCGGUACACACGCCCUCUCGCUGAGAUUUAUUUCGCGCAGCUGGAGGAUCAGAUUGGGCGCCUCGAGGCGGAAAUACGCAACGGCAGUUUCCGGUGACCGCAGAGGCGUCCAAAGCAGCAGAAUGGAGGAGGUACCGCACGACUGUCCCGGGACCGGCAGUGCCCAGGCGGGUCGAGGGGCUUCAUGUCAGGGGUGUCCGAACCAGCGGCUAUGCGCUUCUGGAGCUGGUGCCGCGCCGGACCCGGCCAUAGAGGAAAUCAAAGAGAAAAUGAAGACCGUGAAACACAAGAUCUUGGUGCUGUCUGGGAAAGGCGGCGUGGGGAAAAGCACCUUCAGCGCCCACCUGGCCCACGGCCUAGCGGAGGAUGAGAACACGCAGGUGGCUCUCCUAGACAUUGACAUCUGCGGGCCGUCGAUCCCCAAGAUCAUGGGACUGGAGGGAGAACAGGUUCACCAGAGCGGCUCGGGCUGGUCUCCAGUGUUCUUGGAAGACAACUUGGGGGUGAUGUCGGUGGGUUUCUUGCUCAGCAGUCCUGAUGACGCCGUCAUCUGGAGAGGACCAAAGAAAAAUGGCAUGAUCAAGCAGUUCCUCCGAGACGUGGACUGGGGGGAGCUCGACUACCUCAUCGUGGACACCCCGCCCGGGACGUCGGACGAGCACCUGUCGGCCGUGCAGUACCUGGCCGGGGCGCACAUCGACGGGGCGGUGCUCAUCACCACGCCGCAGGAGGUGUCACUCCAGGACGUGCGCAAAGAGAUCAGCUUCUGCCACAAGGUGAAGCUGCCCAUCAUCGGGGUGGUGGAGAACAUGAGCAGCUUCCUCUGCCCCCGCUGCCAGAAAGAGUCUCAGAUCUUCCCGCCCACGACCGGGGGGGCGGAGGUCAUGUGCCAGGACCUGAAGAUCCCGCUCCUCGGCAAGGUGCCUCUGGAUCCGCGCAUAGGUGGGUGCAGCGCCGCCGCCGCGAGGGGCUCCCCACCUCCUCCGCUGAGAGGAGCAGAGGAACAGGGGCCCCCGGGAGGAGGCAGGCCUGGAAGGGCGGAGAAGAGACGGUUGGGGGCGCCAGGCACAGGGAGGGCCCUCAGGGGUCCCCCAAGGAGCGGGGCGAGCAUGAGAGGGGCGCCGUCCUCACAGGACUAGGUUCUGACAUGAAAGUCAAGGCCAGGAUCAGCCUUGAAAACCCCGAAGGAGGUGCCCUGCUCCCCACCGCCUGUGGCCUGUCUACAGGAAGCCCAGCCCAGCCCUGCUCACGCCUGCUGCUCUCGUGAGCACCCCUUCAGGGCCCGCUGUUCUGCUCUGCGCUCCGAGUCCCCAGUCCCUCGAGGUGCUGCUCUGUGAGCACACAGGGGACGAAGGCAGGGUGAUGAGGGCCCCCCACUCUUUUAGCGACACCCCCACUGCCAGACUUUUGUUUGAACCUGAAGUCAGACAUGCCUGAGGGGGGUCGACAGAGACAGACAGGAGCACAGAGCCCAGGUGGGGCCUGUCCCCAGUCCUCAGUCCUGAGGGGCUUGGCACGUGGCCACUGUGGGCACCGGGGCUGAGGCUGAAUGUGGCGGCAGCGGGGAGAGGGUCAGUUAGGUCAGGGUCGGGGCGCUGGAGUGGAGAAGAAGGGACACAGGGCAAGUGACAGGGUUUGAUGUCUCAUGUCCAUGCCGCCCAGCGUGAGGCAGCGGGGACAUGGGGACAGCACCCGAAAGCACGCACACAGGAGGUGCCGUCGCGGGGAAGGCGGGCUCCCUCCUGGGCACUGUGGAGGCUCUGCAGGCUGUGGCGAGGGGGUGCCUGCCUUAAGGUGGCCUGGGAAUCACCCCGACCAUCCAGGGAGGCAUUUCCUGAGACCCCGCCUCGCCUGUUGCCUCGUCCAGAACCCUCCUGGCUGGGGUUGCCCCGCGGACUAGAACCCUCCAGCCGCUUCUUCCGCCUUUCCGAACGCCGCGAGCUGUGGUUGCAUUGACUGCCGUGGUGCAGCGUCCCUCGUGCUCGUGGGAGCAGGUGCUCCUCGCGGAGGCGCGUGAUGUGUGGGUGACAGGGUGGGCAGUGGCAGCCGGGCACGGCCACCGCCAUCUCCCUCAGGCCUCAGAGCACCUGACGGGACAGAACGGCGGAGCCCAGGCUGCCAGUGGCAGCUUCGGGGCUCCGUUCCGAGCUGAGACUGAGUGCUGUCGAGCGGGCGAGGCCUCACGAGAGGACACCCACGUCCCCAGACCUCCCCUCUAGUGGAAAGCACAGGGAGCGAGAGGAGGGACCGCCGCCGAGCACCUGUAGGCGCUACAGAAAGUCGUACGGGGCUGAGGAGGUCACCCACCUUCCGCAGCUGCUUUUGUCCAGGAGGGAACAGCCAUGUUCCUGGGAACAGAGGGGAGGGUCCCUCUGGGGACAUGUGGGCAGAGGAGCUGCCAGUCUCUAGCACCAAGGUCCUUGGCCUCCCUGGCCCCACAGGCCCCUGGGGCCGCCGCCCAGCCCUCCACCAGCGCUGCUCCGCUGCCAGCUCUGAGCCUGGAGGCCUCCAUCUGUCAGGUGGGGACAGUGACGGAGAUGACCGCGGGGCUGCCGGGUGGAAUGAAAGGUACAAGCAAAGGCCCGGCAGAAGGCCGUGCCCCAGGCGCUACUUGCAGAGAGGCAGGAAAGGGGGGUGUGUGUGGGGGUGACCAGCACCUUUGUAAGGGGAGGACCAGCAGUGAGAGGACAUGGGGCAAAGAUCAGAAGAAAGUGGCCCCACAUGUCUGCUGUGGGACCUGUAACUUCCUAGCCCUGGGCCACGUGGGGCCCCACUCUGCCCUCCCCUCUUGGCUGUCCCUGCCCACCGGGCAGUGCACUAGGGAGUAGCUGGGGGUCGUGGAAGCGCUGCUCCCGCUUCUCCAGCAGGGCUCAGUGUGCACGGGGGUCGACCCAGGGUCAGACAGGAGGGGGCACACCGCCUGCCUGAGGCCCCCGCCUUGUGCUCACCUGGACACGAGACAACCUGUACGUCCACGGGAGGCGCCGGAGUGGACAGUCCAGGGACCGGCUAGCAGACGACGGCUGUCCGCGUGGGGUGCCCUUCCAGAUAAAAUCACACACGGAGAGAGCGGUGGCGCAGCAUGUGUGUCAUGCACACCCAGCAUUAUUUCUUAAAUACGUGGUUUGUGUACCUGCUGCAUUUGCGUCCGUGCAGUAGUUCUACCUGCAGCACUGGCAGCCCCCUUUGAACGCAGCCUUCCCGUAUAACCUUUUGUCCUCCAUGCCUUCCCCACGUGCAUUCCUGGUCUCGCCAGAGGAUGCCUUGAUCUGUACAUGCAGGUUCCUAGGCCCACGCAGCCACUGCAUCCGUUCUGUACGGGGCCCUGGAACCUGCAUUUGCCACACGCCACCCAGAUGACUCGUAGGCACACACACUAACCACACAGCCAGGCUCGGGUCAGGGUCCCCUCUGGGCGGGGGGGAAGCAGGUGCGGUCCUCAAGCCCCCAACUUCCUGUCUCAGCUUCCUCCGCCGUUACGAGUGAGGUGGGCUCAGGAAGGAGCAUCCGUGUCCCGGGCCCAGAAGGAGCCCCGAGUUCAUGUCACCACUGGUUUCUUCAUGGAUUUAAUUUUCUUUCACUUCUUUCUUUAAGCUAAGAGUUGUGACAAAGGACAGUCUUUUUUGGUCGAAGCUCCGGAUUCACCAGCCACCCUGGCCUAUAGAAGUAUAAUCCAGAGAAUCCGGGAGUUCUGCGAUCUGCGUCCGCCUGAAGGAGCGAACCACGUCGCCUCCUGAAGGAGGAAGGGUGUCCGGGGCACAGGCAGCGCAUCCAUCCCCCGAGCAGCCUGGGGAGAAGGUGGGGCGGCACAGGCAGGAAGGGCCCAGCCCCGGGCAUGGCGUGGAGAGCCUUGCAGAGACUUUACUCGUCGUUCCCUGAGCACAAGCUGUACAGAGCCGUGUUUACAGACGUGCCAUUUAGAAAAUAAAAACCUCUCAAGCCUCGGCCCCGAGGCCUGCUCCACGGGAAGACCUCCUGCCUGCGGGUCCUGGCGCUCGUCUCUGUCGGCAGCUCGACCGCAGAACCUCCCCCUCGAGCCCCUGCUGUCUCGGAAAAUAAGCCUAAAAAAGAACCACAGAGAUAAAGAGAUGAAUGUGUGGCCUCACUGCCGACACACAGUCACGCUGUCAGGGAGCCCGUGCUCAGAGAGAGGAGGCAUUAAAGUGACGGACAGAGCCCCCCCACCCCCGAGGCCAGUGCAUGAAGCGCGGCCAGGCAUAGUCACCCUCGGAAAAGCCCUCGUCACCCACAGCAUCAGACCUGGGGUCAACACCCUGUAUGGUAAUCCAUGUCCCCUAUACCCACUAGUUUCCAGCAUCAAACAAGACAAUUUACAGGGUUUUAAAAAUUACAUAAAAAGGAGUUCCCUCUGUGGCUUAAUGGUUAAUGAACCCGACUAGCAUCCAUCAGGACAUGGGUUCGAUCCCUGGCCUUGCUCAGCGGGUUAAGGAUCCGGGGGUGUAGGUCGCAGAUGCGGCUGGGAUCUGGCCUUGCUGUGGCUAUGGCAUAGGCCGGCGGCUACAGCUCUGAUUCGGCCCCUAGCCUGGGAACCUCCAUCUGCCAAGGGUGCAGCCCUAAAAAGAAAAAAAACAAAAAAAUUACGUAAAAAAGAAGAUGCAAACUCUAGGAUGAUGCUCAUCGCCCUGAGGUGCUCACUCUGUCUGAAAGACACAGGACCCUGAGCAGCUGAGGGAAGAGUAAAUCCCACUUCCCAUCUUCCUCUGGCCAGCCCCCUCCCAUUCCCAUCACCCCCCACCCCACCCCUGCACAGGGUGGAAUCUGCACCUGUUCCACGCCUGGUGGGGCGGUCCCCUCUGAAGGGCCACGACGCCACACCAUCGCCUGGGGAGGCCCUGGACAAGCCUGCCCAGACCACAGGCGGCUGAGCCCAGGGAGGCCUUGCUUCCCCGAGCCCCCAGCCCGGCCACCACCCCGACCUCCCCCCCCCCGCCCCCGCUUACCUAAUGCUUGUGAAUCUCCAGCCCCUCGAGUCCAGGCUUCUGAAAGUCGCUUGGACAGGCCUGCGAGGGAAAGAGGGAGCCCGGCUUUCUGUCUCACAUGAGCAUGGCUUGACACUGCCCGUUCAAGCCCAGAGCAGACCCACAGUCAACUGAGAGCCUGUAGGACUGGUCGCUCAGGGUCUUGGCAUAAAGCUGCUCUGUUCACAUUUAAGAUGAUUCAAGCCAUUUCCAGAUGCGUUUGGUCAAACUGAAAAGAUCAGUUUCUCAGAAAGUCCCCUGUGGUGCAGGGGGUUAAGGAUCCAGCACUGCCACAGCUGUGGCUUGGGCUGCCCAUUGAUCCCUGGCCCGGGAACUUGCACAUGCCGUGGGUGCGGCCAAAAAGAUAAAAAAUAAAAGAUCUAUUUCUCACUUCUAGAACUA